Molecule: ribosomal RNA, 253 nt
Filed under: uncultured bacterium
Lineage: Bacteria
Description: partial 16S ribosomal RNA
Rfam family: Bacterial small subunit ribosomal RNA
Source: RNAcentral
UACGUAGGGGGCAAGCGUUGUCCGGAAUUAUUGGGCGUAAAGAGCGUGUAGGCGGUCCGGUAAGUCGGCUGUGAAAGUUCAGGGCUCAACCCUGGGAUGCCGGUCGAUACUGCCGGACUAGAGUUCGGAAGAGGCGAGUGGAAUUCCCGGUGUAGCGGUGAAAUGCGCAGAUAUCGGGAGGAACACCUAUGGCGAAGGCAGCUCGCUGGGACGUUACUGACGCUGAGACGCGAAAGCGUGGGGAGCAAACAGG